AUACGUAGGGUGCAAGCGUUAAUCGGAAUUACUGGGCGUAAAGCGUGCGCAGGCGGUUUUGUAAGACAGUGGUGAAAUCCCCGGGCUCAACCUGGGAACUGCCAUUGUGACUGCAAGGCUGGAGGGCGGCAGAGGGGGGUGGAAUUCCGCGGGUAGCAGGGAAAUGCGUAGAUAGGCGGAGGAACACCGAUGGCGAAGGCAAUCCCCUGGGCCUGCACUGACGCUCAUGCACGAAAGCGUGGGGAGCAAACAGGAUUAGAUACCCUGGUAGUCCACGCCCUAAACGAUGUCAACUGGUUGUUGGGGAUUUAUUUUCUCAGUAACGAAGCUAACGCGUGAAGUUGACCGCCUGGGGAGUACGGCCGCAAGGUUAAAACUCAAAUGAAUUGACGGGG
Molecule: ribosomal RNA, 395 nt
Filed under: uncultured bacterium
Lineage: Bacteria
Description: partial 16S ribosomal RNA
Rfam family: Bacterial small subunit ribosomal RNA
Source: RNAcentral